RNAcentral lists this ribosomal RNA (523 nucleotides) under uncultured bacterium. RNAcentral describes it as "partial 16S ribosomal RNA". It matches the Rfam family "Bacterial small subunit ribosomal RNA", at positions 28 to 523 of the family's 1533-position model. The record is from RNAcentral.
GACGAACGCUGGCGGCGUGCCUAAUACAUGCAAGUCGAACGCUUUUUCUUUCACCGGAGCUUGCUCCACCGAAAGAAAAAGAGUGGCGAACGGGUGAGUAACACGUGGGUAACCUGCCCAUCAGAAGGGGAUAACACUUGGAAACAGGUGCUAAUACCGUAUAACACUAUUUUCCGCAUGGAAGAAAGUUGAAAGGCGCUUUUGCGUCACUGAUGGAUGGACCCGCGGUGCAUUAGCUAGUUGGUGAGGUAACGGCUCACCAAGGCAACGAUGCAUAGCCGACCUGAGAGGGUGAUCGGCCACACUGGGACAGAGACACGGCCCAGACUCCUACGGGAGGCAGCAGUAGGGAACCUUCGGCAAUGGACGAAAGUCUGACCGAGCAACGCCGCGUGAGUGAAGAAGGUUUUCGGAUCGUAAAACUCUGUUGUUAGAGAAGAACAAGGAUGAGAGUAAAAUGUUCAUCCCUUGACGGUAUCUAACCAGAAAGCCACGGCUGACUACGUGCCAGCCGCCGCAGUAA